Molecule: long non-coding RNA, 4634 nt
Filed under: Oreochromis niloticus (Nile tilapia)
Lineage: Eukaryota; Metazoa; Chordata; Actinopteri; Cichliformes; Cichlidae
Description: lncRNA (ENSONIG00000027553.1)
Source: RNAcentral
AUGCUCACACACACACACACACACACACACACACACGCACACACACACACACACCCCCACCUCCUCCCUCUCCUCACACUCUGGGUGACCCUGACAUCAGCCCUGCACUCUCUCCAUCACUGUGUUGCCUUGGCAACGGGCCCCAGGCCUACAGGUACUUUCUACGAGCAUGAGGCUGGAAUUGCCAUGGUUGCAGUGCUGGCCCGGGUCAGGACCUUACGGGAUCCGACUGUAAAUGAGCAUUGUGGGGCUUUGAUGGGAAUCCGUGAUGGGUUUUCAGUUGCUACGAUCCGCCCCUGCUCCAGAGGCGUGAGCAGUUUGGUGAGUUUCACCAUUUGCUCCAGGAGCUGUGCCUGGACGACGGCUGCUUUCAGCGGUACCACCGUCUUUCCCUCGCCUAGACCUGCUGUCCCGUGUCGGUCCCAGAAUCGCCCGCCUAGACACCAACUACAGGCGCUCAAUCCCACCUGCAGAGCGCCUCUCCAUCUGCCUGUGGUUAGUAAAAGUGUAUAAUACGGUAGUCCUUUAUUGAUACCUGUGCUAAUAUAUGCUAAACUAUUGUUUAUACACUGCUAAUAUGGAUGUGGUACGCUAACAGUGAAUGCCCUCGGUGUUUACUGAUAGCGAACUCUGGUAUGGAGACGACUGUUUAUAAUAUUUCUAGUGAUACUUGAAAGGUCUCAUUAAGUCCCGAUUUAAUUUGAUUUAUGCUGUUAUCAGUGUUAGCAAUGAUAGCAUGGCUGUGGUGUCAUGUAUGCUUGCGUUGUUUUGUGAUAUCAAACUGUGGUAUUAGGACCACUGUGGGUUAAUCUUUGUAGUGAUACACACUCCUUUUUUUUUUUACUUAGACCUGGUUUAAUUCUGGUAUAGUUGAAUAUUUGUAUAUAAUCCCCGCAGCUGUCAGACUCUAUAACAGGGGUCACCAAAACUGAGUGCUAGAUAAAAUUGUGAACCGUUUGGUUCAUCUUUAGUUAUAUGGUUCUAUCUAGCAUAUUCUACCUUGAUAUGCUAUGUCUUAUCACAGGUUAAUUUUUCAAAAAUAUUAACAAUGAUUUAAGGAAGGAAAGGGCUACAUGUCAACAUACAACUCUUUAUUUCUAUUAAUGUCUUACUUAAUUCCUACCUGAUUGACAUGUCUAGGAAUUAUGAGUGAUUGGCACACUGUAGUGGUAAAAGUUGCUACCAAUCAAAUUAUGAUAUGGUAAAGUUAAAACAAAACACCACUGUUUUAUAUUAUAUCUAAUAUAUAUUAUGUAAUUAUCCUUAUAAUUACAAAAUGUUUUAUGUAAGAUUUAUGUUUUGUAAUUUAAAUCUGACAUCACAAAAGUGUUUUGGAAUUGGAAUAAUGUAUUUUGUAACUGCAGUACACAUAAUACUAAUUUUAAACAAUUUUGUCCAGGUUCCUUGCCACCGGGGACUCCUUCAGGACCAUCGCAUUCAGUUUCAGAGUCGGUGUGUCCACGGUGUGCCGGAUCACCCCCCUGGUAGCGACGGCCAUCUGGGACUGUCUAGUGGACGACUUCAUGGCUGUGCCUUCACCUGGAGACUGGCGGUCCAUCACAGAGGGAUUCCAGGAGCGCUGGAACUUCCCUCUCUGCUGUGGAGCUCUGGAUGGGAAGCACGUCCAGACAAAGGCACCCCAUAUAUCAUAUAGGAGACACACACAUUGAUAUACACUAAAUAUUUAUUUCAUUUCUUUUUUUGUGGUGCCCAAAUUUAUGCACCUACUUGAUUUUGUUUAAACAAUUAUUGCACACUUUUUGUAAAUCCAGUAAACUUCUUUUCACUUCUCAAAUAUCACUGUGUGUGUGUUAUGUCCCCUGGCUAGUCUAGGGGGUUGAAGGGACGAACAUAAAGGUGGAUAGUGAAGGAGGAGACAAGAUGGUAAUUCUAAAAAGUUUAUUUAAUGCAGAUGAUGAGGUUUGGGUUCAGACUGAGAUAUAACUUCAGGGAGAGCCAAGGCCAACAUAACAAACAAAACAUCCAUGAUGUAAAAAUAAAAUAAACUUACCUAACCCCAAAGAAAACAAAAUAUACAAGCUAUAACCAUAACCUACCUAACAACACAUAAACAGGAGAAAACGGGACGUCAAAACAAAAGGCAGCUCUCCCCUACAAGCAGUCUGAACAUGAAAACAAAAUGCACAUACAAGUCGCAGAGGCAUGCAAGCCUGCAUAGGUAUGGCAACCAAAAUGGCCAGAGGGCCCAGAAACACAGCUCCACAGGCCUUAAGUAGUGCUCUGCUGAUUAACAAUUAGCUGGGCUCUGAGCAGCAUCCAAUCAGGGCAGAGGAGGUGGAGCCUAGACAAAACAAACAGUAGGGAGAAGAGACAUCCUCCUGGGGGAUGUAACAGUGUGUCUCCUGUGUGAUAUAUUUAACUGACAUUUUUUAUUGUAACAACCAACGAUUUAUAAAGGAAAAUAAUGGCUAUUAACAAGGUUGCCCAAACUUUUGCAUCCCACUGUAUUAGUAUAUUUUUUCAUUAGUAUAAUAUGAAAUAAAUUCUACAUGUGUCAAGUCGUGUGCCAACAUUUGCUGUGUAGUAGAACUGAGACAUUAGUCAUUAUAAAAAUUUAUUUGAAAUAAUAUUAAAAUUCUCAAACAGAAAAACAUUAAACAUAAAUAUAUAAAAUAUAAGUAUUUAAAGAGAGACAGGAAUAAAAAUGAACGGAUGAACAGAGGGACCACUGUGUGCUGUUUAUUAAUAAACAAUAAAAUAUAUUCCUAUAUGACAACAUGCAUAAAAGCAGAAUGGUAUUUGUACAUCAGUGGGAAAAUAGCGGUGGCUUGCUAGCUUUUGUGCGGCUUCCCCGGGUCAGUGAAAAAUUUCAAAAGAGAAAUGAAUGAACUUACCAGGUUGCCCGAUCUCUUCACAUAUCUUCCUCCAAGCUCAGUCCUUUAUAUUCCUGUCUCGGUACAGAAAGCAGCUGGUGUCGUACAGCUCCGGGUGGUUUGCUAAGGCGUUGAUUAGCCUUUCCUCCAUAUUGAAUGAAGUAUGAAGGGCUUUGGCUGAAUCUGCCCUUUUGACCUAGGUCAGAGCCACGUCACCAGGCUCCUGAUUGGUUGUCGCGACGCGAAUUGACGCUGGCGUUCAGAUUUUUCCAACUCGAGCGGUAGACGAAAUACGCGUGUAUGCACAAAAUGCAACACAAAAACUGACGCGCGUGGUUUUAGACGCACUGCUGUGAUGCGCGUUUCACGCGUUUUCGCAUUUUCGCGACGCAAAUCUGCUUCCGAAUUUUCGCGGGACCCGCAAUCGCGCAUCAUCGCGCUUCUACAUUGACUUUACAUGUAAACCUGACGCUCUGGCCGCCUCUAUCGCGUUCGGUGUGAACACACCGUUAGACGGAGUUUCGCUCCGUGUGCGAAGCUUGGCUUGUGUGCUGCAGGCCACCGUCGAGGUAGAUAGCGUCGGGACAGGGAGUUGGAGUGAGAGCUAACUCCAGCUGCGCUUUUCUUUAAGACCCUCCACCGUUUCCAGUUGGAUUAGGCUGGGUUUGGCUGUUAAGUGAACGUUCGGAGCGAGGGAGCAUAGUUAGCCAUCUCGCUGGGAGCUGACGAGCCGAUGGGAGGACUUUAGCUACGACACUUAAUGUUGCCCGUUGCUAGCCUGAGGUUGGAUGCAUUCUACAGACCCGACAUCGAGGACAAAGUGGGUCACCGAGGAAUAGGUUACCCUGCCAUCUAGAUGACGUCCUGGUUGUUCAUCCUCCUGGUUACGCUGUAUGUGAAAGUGUCGCCUUUUCGUGGCCAGUGCUUUUCCCACGCACUGUCGCCAAUAGACAAAGGUAUGGUUUCUAUUUUCCUUGCUGUUGUGAACCUGAGACUGGAUUGCUCACUCCGGCUGCUGUAGCUUUGGUCAGCUUAACGGACUGGUACCCUGCAGUCAGCUCCUGUUCACUACAGUUACACCUUCAAAAAAAGACUGUAUAUGGUUGCAUGUUCAAAGGACAUUUUGUUGGGACUGACUCGUAGGAACUGGGACUAUUACCCUGUGAACAUUGUAAAUUGUGUUAUGUUUGUGAUACAGUGUUAAUCAUUCUAGAGAAGAGAAUUUCUUUGUUUAAUUUCAUUAUUUUAUUUGUUUUGUGAUUUUUUUGGAUCCUCGUUUGUGGCUAGUGUAAAACAAGGGUUUUACAACAGUGGGGUCACAAUUGCCUGUUUCAUUCGUUGAACCUGAUUUCUUUUUAUUUCUUUUGCAUUUUUGUUUCUUGCCAUCCAUGAUUUUCAGGGCCCAUCGUAACUGGUGGAUGGUAAAGUUCAAAGGGCCAUCGGAGCAAAUUAAAGUUUAACACUGUUUAGAAGAGACCGUUUCAUGUUUUUGUCUAACCCAAGUUGCCUUGGAGUAAGGGCACCCUAGCUAUCUGGUUGUGGUACAGAAAAUCAGAGGGAAGGUAGGCUAGGCUGUGUUAAUGUCUGAUAGUAUGGUACAUUCCAGGCAGGCAUCGUUUCUCAAGAUUGAAUCCAUGUAUUGUCUCCUGCUACCAGUUGUAACACUGACAAAUGCAAAAGUAAAAAAAAAUACUGUCAGAAAAUGUCAAUGGCGUCCACCUGUAAAAACCAUGCCCAUUUGGGGUUUUUCUGUUGGUUUUCUGUGUGGACUUGUGCAAAAGAAACAAAAAAUCUUUCAAA